AACACGUGGGCAAUCUGCCCUGCACUCUGGGACAAGCCCUGGAAACGGGGUCUAAUACCGGAUACUGAUCCUCUUAGGCAUCUUGGAUGAUCGAAAGCUCCGGCGGUGCAGGAUGAGCCCGCGGCCUAUCAGCUUGUUGGUGAGGUAAUGGCUCACCAAGGCGACGACGGGUAGCCGGCCUGAGAGGGCGACCGGCCACACUGGGACUGAGACACGGCCCAGACUCCUACGGGAGGCAGCAGUGGGGAAUAUUGCACAAUGGGCGAAAGCCUGAUGCAGCGACGCCGCGUGAGGGAUGACGGCCUUCGGGUUGUAAACCUCUUUCAGCAGGGAAGAAUCGAAAGUGACGGUACCUGCAGAAAAAGCGCCGGCUAACUACGUGCCAGCAACCGCGGUAAUACCUACCGCGCGAGCGUUGUCCGGAAUUAUUGGCCGUAAAAAGCUCGUAAGCCGCUUGUCACGUCGGUUGUG
RNAcentral lists this ribosomal RNA (471 nucleotides) under Streptomyces sp. Its description in RNAcentral is "bacterial SSU rRNA". It matches the Rfam family "Bacterial small subunit ribosomal RNA", at positions 112 to 596 of the family's 1533-position model. The record is from RNAcentral. Lineage: Bacteria; Bacillati; Actinomycetota; Actinomycetes; Kitasatosporales; Streptomycetaceae.